RNAcentral lists this unclassified non-coding RNA (380 nucleotides) under soil metagenome. RNAcentral describes it as "partial contains 5.8S ribosomal RNA, internal transcribed spacer 2, and large subunit ribosomal RNA". The stretch from base 1 to 120 matches the Rfam family "5.8S ribosomal RNA", at positions 35 to 154 of the family's 154-position model. The record is from RNAcentral.
GAUGAAGAACGUAGCGAAAUGCGAUAAGUAAUGUGAAUUGCAGAAUUCAGUGAAUCAUCGAAUCUUUGAACGCACCUUGCACCCUUUGGCAUUCUGAAGGGUAUGCUCGUUUGAGUGUCAUUGUACUCUCACAAUCCCGAUCUUUGCAUUGGGAGCAGUGGACUUGGGUUUGCUGCUUCACCGUCGCUUACCUCAAAUAGGUUAGUGCAACUCUUGGUUGGACAUAGUACGGCGUGAUAAGUGUUCUUCGCCGGUGCCUCGCAAAGAGGGUGGCCGAUCGGGAUGUUGUGCUCCAAACCGUCUUCGGACAAUCUCUGACGACUUGACCUCAAAUCGAGUAAGACUACCCGCUGAACUUAAGCAUAUCAAUAAGCGGAGGA